Molecule: non-coding RNA, 277 nt
Organism: Pelobates cultripes (western spadefoot toad)
Lineage: Eukaryota; Metazoa; Chordata; Amphibia; Anura; Pelobatidae
Source: the annotation of a GenBank genome assembly
CAGCGCUUUACAGUGGGUGGACGAACAAAUAUGUAGUUGUAACCAGACAAGUUGGACACACAGGAACAGAGGGGUUGAGGGCCCUGCUCAAUGAGCUUACAUACUAGAGGGAGUAGGGUAAAGUGACACAAAAGGUAAGGUUAGUAUUAGACUAACAAGAAAAUAGAAAGAUGGGUGAAUGAACAAUAGCGAUGGAUAUAAACCAAGUGCAGGCCAGCCAGUAUUAGACUAAUGACAAUUGCAAGAGAGGAAUCAGUCAGGAGCUAUUAACAGUUUA